Molecule: ribosomal RNA, 253 nt
Filed under: uncultured bacterium
Lineage: Bacteria
Description: partial 16S ribosomal RNA
Rfam family: Bacterial small subunit ribosomal RNA
Source: RNAcentral
UACGUAGGGACCGAGCGUUGUCCGGAAUCACUGGGCGUAAAGGGUGCGUAGGCGGGUCUUUAAGUCAGGGGUGAAAUCCUGGAGCUCAACUCCAGAACUGCCUUUGAUACUGAGGAUCUUGAGUUCGGGAGAGGUGAGUGGAACUGCGAGUGUAGAGGCGAAAUUCGUAGAUAUUCGCAGGAACACCAGUGGCGAAGGCGGCUCACUGGCCCGAUACUGACGCUGAGGCACGAAAGCGUGGGGAGCAAACAGG